Molecule: long non-coding RNA, 309 nt
Organism: Alosa sapidissima (American shad)
Lineage: Eukaryota; Metazoa; Chordata; Actinopteri; Clupeiformes; Clupeidae
Exons: 3
Source: RefSeq, a predicted model, not a curated record
UAUUGAGCCAUUAUCAGCAUUAAAGAUGUUGUAGCAUAGUUUGACCUCAGGGUGGCGCACGCACACCAUAGUCAGCUGUUGUUAUGCCAACUUCAGUUUGUCGUUACGCUUUGACACUGAAGGAAACCCAAGCCUAAUGUCCGAAAGGAAAAAAGAUCAAUCCAGAAGUGAAAACCGACGUGAAGCCAGUGCUCAACGUUAUGCUUUUCACCACGAAGCUCAGAGAGGAACUUCAGCAGGCCAAGCAUUGGAUGACCUCGAGCGGCACCACGGCAACCUAAGCCCGACAUCAAGCCCAAGUCCGUCACA